AGAUUGAACGCUGGCGGCAGGCCUAACACAUGCAAGUCGAGCGGUAGAGAGGUGCUUGCACCUCUUGAGAGCGGCGGACGGGUGAGUAAUGCCUAGGAAUCUGCCUAGUGGUGGGGGAUAACGUUCGGAAACGGACGCUAAUACCGCAUACGUCCUACGGGAGAAAGCGGGGGACCUUCGGGCCUCGCGCCAUUAGAUGAGCCUAGGUCGGAUUAGCUAGUUGGUGAGGUAAUGGCUCACCAAGGCGACGAUCCGUAACUGGUCUGAGAGGAUGAUCAGUCACACUGGAACUGAGACACGGUCCAGACUCCUACGGGAGGCAGCAGGUGGGAAUAUUGGACAAGUGGGACGAAAGCCUGAUCCAGCCAUGCCGCGUGUGUGAAGAGGUCUUCGGAUUG
Molecule: ribosomal RNA, 398 nt
Filed under: uncultured soil bacterium
Lineage: Bacteria
Description: bacterial SSU rRNA
Rfam family: Bacterial small subunit ribosomal RNA
Source: RNAcentral